Molecule: long non-coding RNA, 699 nt
Filed under: Rattus norvegicus (Norway rat)
Lineage: Eukaryota; Metazoa; Chordata; Mammalia; Rodentia; Muridae
Description: long non-coding RNA NONRATT023296
Source: RNAcentral
CUCAUUCAGUGCAAUGAGUCAUGGGCCUGUUUUAGGGCCUCUGGCUUUUGCUACACUAUACUGGAACCUCACUAGGACUCCUCUCAGAUAUGUUGUUGCCCUGUGUCAUGGAGAUGUGACCCUGCAGCUUGUGCAGAUCAUAGAUGGGGUAGAUGCUGGGGUGGGCCAACUCAGAGCCCUGGAUUUGGUCCUGGGAGGUAGCUGAGUUGAUCAGCCUGCCACCUGUAUCUGCACCAUCCGGGUGAACUCUCCAACACUGCUCCAGCUAGUUUACCCAGUGCCACAGCUGGCAAGGGGGAGUGUCAGCUCUCCUGUUCUCAGGUCUUCAGGGACUACCUCAUCCACGCCUUUCACCGGGGCUAGCUCUACUGCUGCCCAGGUGAGUUGCAGGGCCCACUCUACCGGGUGCUGCCAGCUCAAGUGUUUGUUCUGAAACAAACAUGGGCUUUGUUAACACAAACCUUCAUUCUCCAUAUGAACUUCUCUGACCUUAAGUCUGUCUGCCUACCCUUCAAAUUCACUAAGACACCUUUUCCCAUAGGGAAUUGAGAUCCCUAGCCACUCUUAGGCAGCCCACCCUCGGCUAGAUGCUCAUGCAGUGCUGUUGAAGGACCCUCCUUAGAGUUCUGUUUUUGCCCUAGAUUGGCAUGGUCUGUUGUGUUGUGUUUUCCCCACAGAUUUCGACAGUGACUUUAAACU